RNAcentral lists this ribosomal RNA (879 nucleotides) under uncultured fungus. RNAcentral's name for it is "eukaryotic LSU rRNA". The stretch from base 613 to 879 matches the Rfam family "Eukaryotic large subunit ribosomal RNA", at positions 1 to 261 of the family's 3401-position model. Lineage: Eukaryota; Fungi. The record is from RNAcentral.
CAUUAUCGUAACAAAAGCGUGAGAGGCGCAUGAAGGCUGUCGCCGGCUCGAAAGGGUCGUGCACGUCUGAAGGCGUCCUCUUGCGUGAAAUCCAUCUCACCCUUUUGUGCACCACCGCGUGGGCCCCCUCUGCUCGAGAGGGCUCGCGUUUUUAUACAAACCCCCUUUGUAAUAGUGUAGAAUGACACAACUUGUUUUGCGAUGACACGCAAUCAAUACAACUUUCAACAACGGAUCUCUUGGCUCUCGCAUCGAUGAAGAACGCAGCGAAAUGCGAUACGUAAUGUGAAUUGCAGAAUUCAGUGAAUCAUCGAAUCUUUGAACGCACCUUGCGCCCCUUGGUACUCCGAGGGGCACACCCGUUUGAGUGUCGUGAAAUUCUCAACCUCCUUGGUUUCUUCUGGAAGCCAAAGGGGGCUUGGACUUUGGAGGUCUUUGCUGGAACAUAAAAGCCAGCUCCUCUUAAAUGGAUUAGCAGGGUCCCCUUUGCCGAUCCUGGGCGUGUGAUAAGAUACCUCCGCGUCUUUGAAUUUGGCUCUGUUGCAUUUUGGGACCCGCUUCCAAUCGUCUCUCGACGAGACAACGUUCGAGCUUGCCUCGACCACAAACCCUUGACCUCAAAUCGGGUGAGACUACCCGCUGAACUUAAGCAUAUCNAUAAGCGGAGGAAAAGAAACUAACAAGGAUUCCCCUAGUAACUGCGAGUGAAGCGGGAAAAGCUCAAAUUUAAAAUCUGGUGGUCUUUGGCCAUCCGAGUUGUAAUUUAGAGAAGCGUUUUCCGCGCCAGACCGUGCNCAAGUCUCCUGGAAUGGAGCGUCAUANAGGGUGAGAAUCCCGUCUUUGGCACGGACGCCUGGUGCUUUGUGAUGCGCUCUCGAA